Numida meleagris (helmeted guineafowl) is the source of this 1497-nucleotide long non-coding RNA. RefSeq lists it as uncharacterized. The transcript is spliced from 2 exons. The record is from RefSeq and is a predicted model, not a curated record. Lineage: Eukaryota; Metazoa; Chordata; Aves; Galliformes; Numididae.
GAGAUAACUGGAGAAGAUGGGGGGGGGGGGAAGAGUCACAUUAACACCAUCCCAAACGUGUAGAAUGUUCUGGUACUUCGCUUUAAAUAGGGUGAGAGGGAAGGAGGCAUCGUGGGGGGGGUCCUGUUCAAACAAGAGCAAAAGAGGAGGAUCCCCCACAGCUUUCUGCUGCCAGGAGAAGUCAUGGGGUAUGGGCAGAGACGGCAGAACCCCCACAUUGCACUGGGGUGAGGCUGGAACUCCCCCAGCAGAGUUUGGGUUCAAGGUAAGCUCUUUACAGGACAAAAUCCCCAUGUCCCAAACCCAGGUUCCGGGGUAAAAUCCCCAAAUCCUGAAUCCAGGUUCUACAACCAAAUCCCAACAUCUCGAAUCCAGGUUCCAGGACAAAAUCCCCAAAUCCUGUAUCUGGGUUCCAGGAGAAAAUCACCACAUCCUGAAUCCAAGUUCCAGGACACAAACCCUAUGUCUUGAAUUUGUUUUCUAGGACAAAAUCCCCCUCAUCCCAAACCAGGGUUCCAGGACAAGAUCCCUCUGUCCCACAUCCAAGUUCUAGGACAAAAUCCCCACAUCCUGAAUCCAAUUUCCAGGACAAAAUCCCCUCAUCCCAAACCAAGGUUCCAGGAUAAGAUCUCUCUGUCCCACAUCCAUGUUCUGGGACAAAAUCCCCACAUCCUGAAUCCAGGUUCUAGGAUAAAAUCCUCUCAUCCCAAAUCAAGGUUCCAGGAUAAGAUCCCUCUGUCCCACAUCCAAGUUGUAGGACACGUCCUGCAUCCAGGUUCUGAGUUCUAGGACAAAAUCCCCUCAUCCUAAACCCAGGUUCCAGGACAAAAUCCCCACAUCCUGAAUCCAGGUUCUAGGACAAAAUCCCCACAUCCUGAAUCCAAGUUCUGGGACAAAAUCCCCACAUCCCAAACCAAGGUUCCAGGACAAGAUCCCUCUGUCCCACAUCCAAGUUGUAGGACACGUCCUGCAUCCAGGUUCUGAGUUCUAGGACAAAAUCUCCUCAUCCUAAACCCAGGUUCCAGGAUGAAAUCCCCACAUCCUGAAUCCAAGUUCUGGGACAAAAUCCCCACAUCCCAAACCAAGGUUCCAGGACAAGAUCCCUCUGUCCCACAUCCAAGUUGUAGGACAAAAUCCCCAUGUCCUGUAUCCACAUUCCAGGAGAAAAUCCCCACAUUUGGAUUCUAGGUUCUAGGACAAAAUCGUCCCACAUCCAGGUCCCAGGAUACAAUCCCUAUGUCUCGAAUCUGGGUUCAAGGACAAAAUCCCACAUCCCACAGCCACUUUCUGGACUCGGUGGGUUCAAAGCGAGGCGUGAGGGCCAGAGCAGCCCCUCGGAAUCCCGGAGAGUUGCGCUCACCAUUUUGUGCAGCGUCUCCGGGGCCCCUUUCACAGCUGCAAUGUAACAGAGAUCAGCGGCGCCCAUCUUCUCGUACGACGCCAAGACAGACAUUCUUUUCAGGGCACUGGCAAAAUGAAAGCGCUGGUGAAUUUUCA